GACGAACGCUGGCGGCGUGCUUAACACAUGCAAGUCGAACGGAAAGGCCCUGCUUUUGUGGGGUGCUCGAGUGGCGAACGGGUGAGUAACACGUGAGUAACCUGCCCUUGACUUUGGGAUAACUUCAGGAAACUGGGGCUAAUACCGGAUAGGAGCUCCUGCUGCAUGGUGGGGGUUGGAAAGUUUCGGCGGUUGGGGAUGGACUCGCGGCUUAUCAGCUUGUUGGUGGGGUAGUGGCUUACCAAGGCUUUGACGGGUAGCCGGCCUGAGAGGGUGACCGGCAAAAUUGGGACGGAGAACCGCCCGAGCGCCCUACGGGGGGCAGCAGGGGGGAAUAUUGCACAGUGGGCGGAGGCCUGAUGCAGCAACGCCGCGGGCGGGAUGACGGCCUUCGGUUUGAAACCCGCUUCCGCCUGUGACGAAGCGGGAGUGAGGGUAAUGGGUAAAGAAACACCGGCUAACUACGUG
Molecule: ribosomal RNA, 468 nt
Filed under: uncultured bacterium
Lineage: Bacteria
Description: partial 16S ribosomal RNA
Rfam family: Bacterial small subunit ribosomal RNA
Source: RNAcentral